UGAGGAAUCUUGCGCAAUGGGGGAAACCCUGACGCAGCAACGCCGCGUGAGUGAGGAAGGCCUUCGGGUCGUAAAGCUCUGUCAGAUGGGAAGAAAUGGGUGGGGGCUAAUAUCGUCCACCCUUGACGGUACCAUCAGAGGAAGCACCGGCUAACUCCGUGCCAGCAGCCGCGGUAAUACGGGGGGUGCAAGCGUUGUUCGGAAUCAUUGGGCGUAAAGCGCGCGCAGGCGGCUUGGUCAGUCAGAUGUGAAAGCCCUGGGCUUAACCCAGGAAGUGCAUUUGAUACUGCCUCGCUAGAGUACGGGAGAGGAAAGUGGAAUUCCUGGUGUAGAGGUGGAAUUCGUAGAUAUCAGGAGGAACACCGGUGGCGAAGGCGACUUUCUGGCCCGAUACUGACGCUCAGGCGCGAAAGCGUGGGGAGCAAACAG
Molecule: ribosomal RNA, 429 nt
Filed under: uncultured bacterium
Lineage: Bacteria
Description: bacterial SSU rRNA
Rfam family: Bacterial small subunit ribosomal RNA
Source: RNAcentral